UACGAAGGGGGCUAGCGUUGUCCGGAGUUACUGGGCGUAAAGCGCGCGUAGGCGGUUUGUUAAGUCAGCUGUGAAAGCCCCGGGCUCAACCUGGGAACUGCAGUUGAUACUGUCCGACUAGAGUACGAGAGAGGGAGGUAGAAUUCCAUGUGUAGCGGUGAAAUGCGUAGAUAUAUGGAGGAAUACCAGUGGCGAAGGCGGCCUCCUGGCUCGAUACUGACGCUGAGGUGCGAAAGCGUGGGGAUCAAACAGG
This 253-nucleotide ribosomal RNA is filed under the name uncultured bacterium. RNAcentral describes it as "partial 16S ribosomal RNA". It matches the Rfam family "Bacterial small subunit ribosomal RNA", at positions 524 to 776 of the family's 1533-position model. The record is from RNAcentral.